ACCAGGUAGUGGGUUAACCAGCAGGUAGAGGGUUCACCAGCAGGUAGAGGGUUCACCAGCAGGUAGAGGGUUAACCAGAAGGUAGAGGGUUCACCAGCAGGUAGUGGGUUAACCAGCAGGUAGAGGGUUCACCAGCAGGUAGAGGGUUCACCAGCAGGUAGAGGGUUAACCAGAAGGUAGAGGGUUAACCAGCAGGUAGAGGGUUAACCAGCAGGUAGAGGGUUAACCAGCAGGUAGUGGGUUCACCAGCAG
Molecule: long non-coding RNA, 252 nt
Organism: Amphiprion ocellaris (clown anemonefish)
Lineage: Eukaryota; Metazoa; Chordata; Actinopteri; Pomacentridae
Source: Ensembl